Molecule: non-coding RNA, 1116 nt
Organism: Maylandia zebra (zebra mbuna)
Lineage: Eukaryota; Metazoa; Chordata; Actinopteri; Cichliformes; Cichlidae
Source: RefSeq, a predicted model, not a curated record
GUGGAAUAGCUGGCUUCUCCGGUCCCGACCAAGCCUCGCAGCAGGGCGAGAAGCCAGAAUUGCUGCAUAGACAAAAACAUCAAAGACAUUCAACAUGUUUUCUGUCAAGCGCACAUGGUUACAUGCACGGAGAGUCAUCAGCACAAUCAGUCUGCAGAUAAGGUACAACAAACCUCUGAUGCAUUUUCAACACAAACAUGGGGAAAUGAUCUCAGACCCCACUGAGUGUCACAGCUCCCACUCCCUGAAACUCCCUCUUAACUCUGCGCCUGUCAAAACUACAGCUGAAUGUGAUGGAGGAGUCUCUCCCCCUGUAGUUAAACCACUUCGAAGGAUAUCAAAUGUGAAUACACAAACAGACUGUUUUGUAGAAAAAGCUGCACUGAUGCAAAAAUGAAUCGCUUGAUGGGUUCCAGUGUGAUCACAGAGCGCAGCGCGCCUCCUCACCAACGUAGUUUGGUCACCUCAGACUAACUUAAUAACUUAUUGUGCCGUCCUCACUUUACUUCACUGAAACCUUUGAUACCACAGACUAUAAAAUGCUGUCAAGCGCUGGGCUGGAAUUUCCAGUGUUGAAAUCAGAAACUCUGCGUAACCUCUGCAGACCAGCUUUGUGACUUUUCUUCUCAGACGUCUCGAUCUGAUGAAACCUCACCCGACAGCUUAACAUUUGUCAGCGUGGUUAUGACACAGCUGUAUGUUUCUAUAGAGCCAGAUGACAAUAACGUUUUUUAAACCUAAUGAAGACAAAUUGUUCAUUCUUUUAAUUUAAUAAUUCAGAUUGUCUGACGGGGUGCAGGUUAACCGUCUUGGACUUUCAGUUUCUGCCUCACAAGAGUGCGACUCAGCUGAUGGAGUUUGAUGUGCAGCUGCGAGAGAACAAUGUGACUCUGAAUGGCUCUGAGGCAUGAAGACGCUAACAGGGACCUCAGUUUUGGGACGACUCGAGUUAUAUUAAGUUAGCGACAGGGCCAGCCCACUGAGGGUUGGUCAUGCAGGGUUUCACACAUAUCUGUCUUAGUGAAGCAAUGGCACAGACCAGCCAGACGUCAUGGACAUUUUCCACUUUGUGUUUCUUUUUUAAGAAACUUAGCACAAAAUAAAGCAAUAAAUGUA